RNAcentral lists this ribosomal RNA (253 nucleotides) under uncultured bacterium. RNAcentral's name for it is "partial 16S ribosomal RNA". It matches the Rfam family "Bacterial small subunit ribosomal RNA", at positions 524 to 776 of the family's 1533-position model. The record is from RNAcentral.
UACAGAGGGGGCAAGCGUUGUUCGGAAUUACUGGGCGUAAAGGGCGCGUAGGCGGCCUGCUAAGUCGAACGUGAAAUCCCUGGGCUCAACCCAGGAACUGCGUCCGAUACUGGUUGGCUUGAAUCCGGGAGAGGGAUGUGGAAUUCCAGGUGUAGCGGUGAAAUGCGUAGAUAUCUGGAGGAACACCGGUGGCGAAGGCGGCAUCCUGGACCGAUACUGACGCUGAGGAGCGAAAGCCAGGGGAGCAAACGGG